RNAcentral lists this long non-coding RNA (292 nucleotides) under Physcomitrium patens. Its description in RNAcentral is "long non-coding RNA (PPAT_LNC004487)". The record is from RNAcentral. Lineage: Eukaryota; Viridiplantae; Streptophyta; Bryopsida; Funariales; Funariaceae.
UAGUUUGCUAUCGUAUGGCUUACUUACCUCUUUUAUGUGUUUGAUGGACACAUUGCCCUUUAUAAAUAUGGGAUGCACAGUAAAUUGGUUUGUCCGUUUUGGUUUGUUAGAUUUUCUAAGUUACUAGAAUGCAUUGACUUGGCCUAAUUAGUGUAGAAUGCAAUGAUUUGGCCUAAUUAGGCUUUGGAAUGACCUACAUAACAUAGGUUAUUUCCGGCCACUCGCCAUGUUGAGGGACUCUGGACCUGGCUACAGAUGACAUCAAAGACGUUAGCUUAUUGCCAGCUCUUGG